GAUGAACGCUGGCGGCGUGCCUAAUACAUGCAAGUCGAGCGAACAGACGAGGAGCUUGCUCCUCUGACGUUAGCGGCGGACGGGUGAGUAACACGUGGAUAACCUACCUAUAAGACUGGGAUAACUUCGGGAAACCGGAGCUAAUACCGGAUAAUAUAUUGAACCGCAUGGUUCAAUAGUGAAAGACGGUUUUGCUGUCACUUAUAGAUGGAUCCGCGCCGCAUUAGCUAGUUGGUAAGGUAACAGCUUACCAAGGCAACGAUGCGUAGCCGACCUGAGAGGGUGAUCGGCCACACUGGAACUGAGACACGGUCCAGACUCCUACGGGAGGCAGCAGUAGGGAAUCUUCCGCAAUGGGCGAAAGCCUGACGGAGCAAGGCCGCGUGAGUGAUGAAGGUCUUCGGAUCGUAAAACUCUGUUAUUAGGGAAGAACAAAUGUGUAAGUAACUAUGCACGUCUUGACGGUACCUAAUCAGAAAGCCACGGCUAACUACGUG
RNAcentral lists this ribosomal RNA (497 nucleotides) under uncultured bacterium. RNAcentral describes it as "partial 16S ribosomal RNA". It matches the Rfam family "Bacterial small subunit ribosomal RNA", at positions 28 to 507 of the family's 1533-position model. The record is from RNAcentral.